AAGUCGUAACAAGGUUUCCGUAGGUGAACCUGCGGAAGGAUCAUUAUUACGUAUCCAACGUAUCAAACCAAAACUUGUGAACCGUUUCCCAUCCAGUGAGGGUUUCUGCGAGUCUUCGGAACUUUUAAAUAAUGCACAGUGAAGCGAGUGUUGACCCUUUGGGCCAGCUCGUUGAACUAAGACUCGGUCCUGGAAACAAAUUCAACAAAUUCAUUUUGUUGUUCUUGUUCCAGCUUAUUGGAUGUGGUUGUUUCCUAAAGUUCCUCUCCUGUGCGAACAACUAUUAACCCCUUGUACAAAAUUGAACUAAUUUACGGAGAAGACAAUUCUCUGGAUAACCGAAAUUUAAGAAACAACUCUUAACAACGGAUAUCUUGGUUCUC
RNAcentral lists this unclassified non-coding RNA (383 nucleotides) under fungal sp. RNAcentral describes it as "partial internal transcribed spacer region". The stretch from base 1 to 46 matches the Rfam family "Eukaryotic small subunit ribosomal RNA", at positions 1786 to 1831 of the family's 1831-position model. Lineage: Eukaryota; Fungi. The record is from RNAcentral.